Long non-coding RNA from Panicum virgatum (switchgrass), 1211 nucleotides. RefSeq lists it as uncharacterized. The record is from RefSeq and is a predicted model, not a curated record. The transcript is spliced from 4 exons. NCBI's taxonomy places the organism in Eukaryota, Viridiplantae, Streptophyta, Magnoliopsida, Poales, Poaceae.
CCCGCCGGCCACCGCCGCGUGCCCCACGAGCCGGCCGCCGCCCGCCGCCGGCCGCGCGCCGCGAGGCCUCACCUGCCCCCGGCCCGAGCUCACUGGAGAGAGAGAGAUAGAGGAGCGACGGCGGGAGCGGAGGAGCGCAGGCCGCGGCGGCGGCGCGCGCGCGCUCGAGCGCGGCGACGAGCAGCGGGGUUCGCCGGCGCGGAGCAGAAGCCAUGGCGCGGAGUGGACCUCCAGCGCGGCAGAGACGGCGGCCAUGGCCGGCUCGGGACGGCGCGUCCCUCGUCCCAGAGCCUGUUGGUCCCUUCGUCGAUGCCACCGGCAAAGUUCGCGAUAUAUCCAUUCAGCGCAGCCGCCACCGCUUCCAGACUUCUCCCGUCACCCACUUCCACUCCCAGCUCCUCCUCUCCGUCCAAAUCGUCGCCGCCGCUCGCGGCCGCGGCCACCGCGCGCUGCUACUCCUGCUGCAAGUCGCGUCUUCGCGGGCCAGAGCACCUCGGCGAACCGCCGCAUUGCUGGCCACGUCGCGCGCUCUGGAGCCGUGCAUUCCGCCGCCGGCGCCAUCACCCCCAAAAAUCCUGCUGCCUCUCCACCUACUAAACCUGCACAACCUGUCUAAAUCCCAACGAGAUUCCUGCUUCUCGACUAACUAGAAGACAAAUCGAGGCAGAUCUUCAGCAGAAAGGUCAAAGAGAUGCUCUGGUGGUUGGGGCUGAAGCUCUGAAAGUGACGGCACUGAACCUGCACCCACACAAAGCGACAGCGCUGACAGAGAUGCUGGAGUGGUGCCGCUGAGGUGAAUAAAGGAACAUCUUGGCACCGCAUCAUGCUAAGCUUAUCACCAUUAAGGAAGCCGAAACCCUCAUUUCCACAUCAGAAAUCAGUGAUGCCCAGAAACAACAUUUAUAUUGGCUCAGCCCUGCUAACUUGCACCUUUACCUCGCUUCUUUAGCCAUCAGGAAUUGAAGCUGCCUCCAGUGUUUUGCCAAGCACCCAAAUGCUGCUAUAACCUAUAUGUAGGUUACUAUCACCGAAGAAGCAAUCUAUUAGUAGACUGUAAUAUUAUGCUCUUUCUAUUCCUCACACAUCCAGAAUGCCCAGCGUAGAUAAACUAAUGUAGAGGUUUGAUUCUUUUCAAAAAAUAUGCUUUGCCUUAUAUUUGACCUGCUCUUCCUGUUACCUUUACAGACAAUAAAUCUACUUUGCCAUUCUUA